GCGCUUUUAGUUCAGUUGGUAGAACGUAGGUCUCCAAAACCUAAUGUCGUAGGUUCAAGUCCUACAGGGCGUGC
RNAcentral lists this transfer RNA (74 nucleotides) under Cylindrocystis brebissonii. RNAcentral describes it as "tRNA-Trp". It matches the Rfam family "tRNA". Rfam says of the family: Transfer RNA (tRNA) molecules are approximately 80 nucleotides in length. Their secondary structure includes four short double-helical elements and three loops (D, anti-codon, and T loops). The record is from RNAcentral. Lineage: Eukaryota; Viridiplantae; Streptophyta; Zygnematophyceae; Zygnematales; Mesotaeniaceae.